Molecule: ribosomal RNA, 449 nt
Filed under: uncultured bacterium
Lineage: Bacteria
Description: bacterial SSU rRNA
Rfam family: Bacterial small subunit ribosomal RNA
Source: RNAcentral
CGCUAUCACUCCUACGGGAGGCAGCAGUGAGGAAUAUUGGACAAUGGGCGCAAGCCUGAUCCAGCCAUGCCGCGUGAGCGAUGAAGGCCUUAGGGUUGUAAAGCUCUUUCGCUAGGGAAGAUAAUGACGGUACCUAGUAAAGAAACCCCCGGCUAACUCCGUGCCAGCAGCCGCGGUAAUACGGAGGGGUUAGCGUUGUUCGGAAUUACUGGGCGUAAAGCGCACGUAGGCGGACUAUUAAGUCAGAGGUGAAAUCCCCGGGGCUCAACCCCGGAACUGCCUUUGAUACUGGUAGUCUAGAGGUCGAGAGAGGUGAGUGGAAUUCCAAGUGUAGAGGUGAAAUUCGUAGAUAUUUGGAGGAACACCAGUGGCGAAGGCGGCUCACUGGCUCGAUACUGACGCUGAGGUGCGAAAGUGUGGGGAGCAAACAGGAUUAGAUACCCUGGUAG